AGCGCAAGAUCGCUACUAUGGCUCCUGAGAAUCCUUUCAAGGUAAAUCUUAACCAGUCUUCCCAAGCCUGGGGGUGGCGAGUUUGGAAAGUACUAUAGCCUACCUGCUCUGAAUGAUCCAAGGAUCGAUAAGUUGCCGUACUCCGUCAGGAUCCUUUUUGAAUCGGCAAU
Telopea speciosissima is the source of this 170-nucleotide long non-coding RNA. RefSeq lists it as uncharacterized. Lineage: Eukaryota; Viridiplantae; Streptophyta; Magnoliopsida; Proteales; Proteaceae. The record is from RefSeq and is a predicted model, not a curated record. The transcript has 3 exons.